Epinephelus lanceolatus (giant grouper) is the source of this 698-nucleotide non-coding RNA. Lineage: Eukaryota; Metazoa; Chordata; Actinopteri; Perciformes; Serranidae. The record is from the annotation of a RefSeq genome assembly.
CCAACCCUGCUCACCUCUCAGCUGGACAGUAAGGGACGUUUACAACACACACUGACAACAUGCUGGGGACCCUCUGCACUCUCAUCACUGCUCUAACAUAUGUUGAUGCAGCCAAAGUGCUGACCCAGACGCCUGCUGUCCACACAGUUUCUACAGGACAAGAGGCUGUUCUCAACUGCAACAUUCAGAGAGAUGAUGGACAGUAUGUUAGCUGGUAUAAACAGGUUCCUGGUGAAGCUCCUCAGUUUGUUCUGAGAUUUCACCAUUCUCACAGUUCACCAGACAGCUAUGGAUCAGGAUUCUCCUCAGACCGAUUCAACUCUAAAUCCUCAUCAAACAUAGAUUACCAGUUCAUCAUAAAGCGGACAGAGACAGAAGACUCUGCUGUCUAUUACUGUCUAACAUGGGAUAACUCUGCCAAGGAGUACAUAUCACAGUGAUUCACACCAUGACAAAAACCUCAGUGAGAGAGUCACCACAUAUUUUAUAAAUUCUGACCAAAAUGAAAGAACUUUAAUAUAUAAACAUGUAACAAAACAAGAACAGACAAUGAAUGAAAUCCAAUAAAGACAAAUGAGUGGUUUGAAACAAGUCCAGCAGUGUUUUGGAAUAUAAUGAGACUGAUGAAGUGAAGAGAUGUUGACAGUGAAAGUUGGUCUCAACAGGAUGUUUCAGUUCCACUCCCCUCAUUAGUGAGA